Molecule: ribosomal RNA, 24 nt
Filed under: uncultured fungus
Lineage: Eukaryota; Fungi
Description: partial 18S ribosomal RNA
Source: RNAcentral
GAAACCUGCGGCAAGGAUCAUUUA